UCACUUACCUAGACAGGGUCAACUCGUAAACAAAAAGAUGAGUGACCUAGACUAGGGACUUCAUUGCACCUUAAAGAAGGGAGCUUAGCCUAAGGUCUUCUCAGGUAGAGAGCCUGCGUCAUUAUCUGUGGAAUAGAAGGUUUUCGUUCGCACAGCCCCUAC
This is a non-coding RNA of Brassica napus (rape), 162 nucleotides long. The record is from Rfam. Lineage: Eukaryota; Viridiplantae; Streptophyta; Magnoliopsida; Brassicales; Brassicaceae.